GGGAGGGGACGGAGGGAGGCACAAGAUGUCUUGGAUUAGCUUCAGGAAAAAAAAUCACAGCGACACUAGGGUCCAGUAGCCUCCCUUCACAGCAGCCCAGGAACCCCGGACUUCAGCUUUUGGUGCAGAGGAUGCGGCAAGUUACCAGCUUCGUUAUCUGUCUGCUGGGAUCACUGUGCAGCCUGCUUGACAUCCUGGGCAACCCUCUGCCUCGGAUUUGAAACUUCUCUUCACAACCUACGUAGGCAAUACUGGCUACAGCUGGCCUUGAGCUCUUCAGCCACAUUGGGGAAUGCCAAAUGCCAUCAGUGUCACAAGGUCCUGGUCAUUUGCUUAAAGUCCAGCUGCACAGGCACUGUAUGGUCUCAGCUCUGACCCAGCAGAGGCACUGCACCUCUCUAGGUAAGCCCUAUGUGCUUCUCCACAGAACCCUUAGGAGUUGAGUCUGGGCCUGGAUAUUUAAGUUGAAGACUCCAUUCUAGGAGCUGUCCUAUGCCUACCUCCUCACAUCUCUGGUGCUACUGAUACAAGAACAUCAUUGGGUUUGUCUGGCCACAUUCCUCCAAAGGGACAUGGUCUCUCCUGUGCAUGCAGUAGACAACUAUACAUGCUUGUUUCACUUCCCAACUCUUCUAGAAUAACGUUCUUCCCCCUAUGUUCCCUUCUGUGCAUGGUGCCACCCUGGGCCACCCCUUCAGUCCCCAGGGCUGUCAUUGUCACUCUUUGUCAGUGGACCCCAUGGAGGAGGGAGCAAGUGGACAGAUUAUGCUGGGAUUAAACACCAGAAAGCAAGAGGCAGCUUUGGCCACCCAGAGGAACCAUGCUCUGAUUAGUCACCACAAACAAUGGCUUGUUUACUGGGUUUUUCUGAGCUUGCUAAUGAGAGGAGGAAAUUCCUAUUCACCCCACCCCCUGGGUGAGGGAGGCCAUGGCUGCAGGCUGACCUCCCAGGGAAGAGCCUCGCCAGCAGCUCUGACCACUCAGAGGCAUAGAGACCUGGUCACCCAUGCUCUAUCACUCAUGGAAAACUGCAAGGGAUUUAGCCUUCCAGGGCUGGGCUGUCACUCAGCCCCGGUCAAGAGGGCCUGCUUGGCCUUGAGGGUAAGAGGUGGGGCAGUUCCUGGUUACAUCUGCAAACGCAGAAGAGGCUAACAAAACCCAUCCAAACUGUCCCUUGUCCUCUCUGACUCAUAGACUACUCUAAUGGCCCCUCUCCACCUCCCCUCAAGAGCCUUUCUCCAACAACUCCCAGUGAUUCCCUCCCACCCAUCAGGAAUGAGUCUUUAGGAAGAAGCACCAAGCUCAAGGCAAGAAAGGAUCUGUAAAUUCCAGCAUCUGCUGCCUUUUAAAAGUGUUUUCUUGAGACAGAGUCUCAUAUGGCUUAGGUUGACCUUGAACCCCUUAUCGAAGCCAGAGAAAACCUCCUCCUUCCACCUCCCAAGCGCUGGAAUUAGAGGUAUGUGCUAUCACACCCAGUUUUAUGCAGUGCUGACAAUCAAACCCAGGGCUUUGUGCCUGCCCCAGCCGGCCGCUUUCUGUAUAAUGUGUCUAUCUU
This is a long non-coding RNA of Mus musculus (house mouse), 1555 nucleotides long. RefSeq annotates it as predicted gene, 34997. NCBI's taxonomy places the organism in Eukaryota, Metazoa, Chordata, Mammalia, Rodentia, Muridae. The transcript is spliced from 3 exons. The record is from RefSeq and is a predicted model, not a curated record.